RNAcentral lists this ribosomal RNA (327 nucleotides) under Cloeodes portabilis. RNAcentral's name for it is "partial 12S ribosomal RNA". The record is from RNAcentral. Lineage: Eukaryota; Metazoa; Arthropoda; Insecta; Ephemeroptera; Baetidae.
AUUAAUAAGCUUCUAAUUUACUCUGGGUAGUACCAGCUAUCUAUAAACUCAAAGAAUUUGGCGGCAACUCCACCUGUCAGAGGAACCUGCCCCGUAAUUGAUGAUCCACGUAAAGAUAACUUGGUUUAAAAGUUUGUAUACCGCCGUUUAGGGUAUGUUUAAAAAUAUGCCCAUAAUUGAAUUAUCAAGUACGCCAGGUCAAGGUGCAGCUUAUGACUAAGAGGAGGUGGGUUACAUUAUUUAUAUGUAUACGGAUUAUAAAAGUAAUAUAUUAUGAAGGCGGAUUUGGCAGUAAUGUUUAUAAAACAUGAUAAGGUUCUGAUUUGU